Molecule: unclassified non-coding RNA, 319 nt
Filed under: uncultured fungus
Lineage: Eukaryota; Fungi
Description: partial contains small subunit ribosomal RNA, internal transcribed spacer 1, and 5.8S ribosomal RNA
Rfam family: Eukaryotic small subunit ribosomal RNA (bases 1-73)
Source: RNAcentral
GCAAACUUGGUCAUUUAGAGGAAGUAAAAGUCGUAACAAGGUUUCCGUAGGUGAACCUGCGGAAGGAUCAUUAUCUAUUUUCCAGGUGUGGUUGCGGCCCCUGCGAAUCAACUCGCAGGCGGUAGGGGUAACACCCUCACGCGGCCACUUACCUAAAUCCUCUUUAUACGAGCACCUUUCGUUCUCCUUCGGCGGGGUUUCUCCGCCGCUGGAACAACAAAACCUUUUUUUGCAUCUAGCAUUACCUGUUCUGAUACAAACAAUCGUAACAACUUUCAACAAUGGAUCUCUUGGCUCUGGCAUCGAUGAAGAACGCAGC